RNAcentral lists this ribosomal RNA (744 nucleotides) under Streptomyces sp. RNAcentral describes it as "bacterial SSU rRNA". It matches the Rfam family "Bacterial small subunit ribosomal RNA", at positions 100 to 852 of the family's 1533-position model. Lineage: Bacteria; Bacillati; Actinomycetota; Actinomycetes; Kitasatosporales; Streptomycetaceae. The record is from RNAcentral.
GAACGGGUGAGUAACACGUGGGCAAUCUGCCCUGCACUCUGGGACAAGCCCUGGAAACGGGGUCUAAUACCGGAUACUGAACUCUCGCGGGCAUCUGCGAGGUUCGAAAGCUCCGGCGGUGCAGAAAAGCCCGCGGCCUAUCAGCUUGUUGGUGAGGUAAUGGCUCACCAAGGCGACGACGGGUAGCCGGCCUGAGAGGGCGACCGGCCACACUGGGACUGAGAGGCGGCCCAGACUCCUACGGGAGGCAGCAGUGGGGAAUAUUGCACAAUGGGGGGCGGAAGCCUGAUGCAGCGACGCCGCGUGAGGGAUGACGGCCUUCGGGUUGUAAACCUCUUUCAGCAGGGAAGAAGCGAAAGUGACGGUACUUGCAGAAGAAGCGCCGGCUAACUACGUGCCAGCAGCCGCGGUAAUACGUAGGGCGCAAGCGUUGUCCGGAAUUAUUGGGCGUAAAGAGCUCGUAGGCGGCUUGUCACGUCGGUUGUGAAAGCCCGGGGCUUAACCCCGAAUCUGCAGUCGAUACGGGCAGGCUAGAGUUCGGUAGGGGAGAUCNNAAUUCCUGGUGUAGCGGUGAAAUGCGCAGAUAUCAGGAGGAACACCGGUGGCGAAGGCGGAUCUCUGGGCCGAUACUGACGCUGAGGAGCGAAAGCGUGGGGAGCGAACAGGAUUAGAUACCCUGGUAGUCCACGCCGUAAACGGUGGGCACUAGGUGUGGGCAACAUUCCACGUUGUCCGUGCCGCAGC